AUGGCCUGGACCCCUUCCCUGCUCACCCUCCUCACCCUCUGCACAGGUUCUGUGACCUCUUCUGAGCUGACUCAAGUGUCUGCAGUGUCUGUGGCCUUGGGACAGACAGCCAGGAUUACCUGCCAGGGUGAUGACUUAGAAACAUACUAUGCACACUGGUACCAGCAGAAGCCAGGUCAGGCCCCUGUGCUGGUCAUCUAUGAUAGCAGUAACCGGCCACCAGGGAUCCCUGAGCGAUUCUCUGGCUCUGAUUCAGGGAACACAGCCAUUCUGACCAUCAGUGGGGCAAAGGCCGAGGACGAGGCUGACUAUUACUGUCAGUCAUUUGACAGCAGUGGUAGUUAUCCACAGUGA
Molecule: non-coding RNA, 354 nt
Organism: Carlito syrichta (Philippine tarsier)
Lineage: Eukaryota; Metazoa; Chordata; Mammalia; Primates; Tarsiidae
Source: the annotation of a RefSeq genome assembly